This 207-nucleotide ribosomal RNA is filed under the name uncultured bacterium. RNAcentral's name for it is "partial 16S ribosomal RNA". It matches the Rfam family "Bacterial small subunit ribosomal RNA", at positions 568 to 774 of the family's 1533-position model. The record is from RNAcentral.
CUCGUAGGCGGUUCGUCGCGUCCGGUGUGAAAGUCCAUCGCUUAACGGUGGAUCCGCGCCGGGUACGGGCGGGCUUGAGUGCGGUAGGGGAGACUGGAAUUCCCGGUGUAACGGUGGAAUGUGUAGAUAUCGGGAAGAACACCAAUGGCGAAGGCAGGUCUCUGGGCCGUUACUGACGCUGAGGCUCGAAAGUGUGGGUAGCAAACA